UCUUUCAUUAAUGUAUUUUUUUUCCAAAGAUCGUUUACAACUUGUGUUUGACCUGUUUCAAGUUGUAAUAUUAGUGUUAUUAUUCAUUCGUUAUUGUUUACACAAACUAACCAAUCUAUAAUAAAACAUUAUGCAAUGCAAACAUACAAUACAAAUACUAAGGAAAAAGAUCAAUUAUUAAAGCAAACAAUUAUUGUGGUAAAUAACUCUGGAUAUUUUGAUUGGUUGCAAACACUUGUGUGAACUAUUAUUUUACAACAAUUAAUCAUUCUUUUUUUGGGUAAUACUAAAAUACAAAAUAUCAGCUCCAUGACUCAGAGUAAAAUCGAAUGGACAACAGACAGGAAAUAAACAUUGGUACGUGACAAGUCUUUCUUUAAUAAAGAUUAAUAAAAAAUUUCUUUAGGCCUAGUCUUUCAAACACAAAUAUUCUCCAUGCAUGUAAUGGCCCAUUAUUCAAAGACAGCCUCAAAUUAUUUUUUUUCCAACUGGCAAACUGUAUCAAAAGCCCAACUCUCAAAAGCCAAUGUAUUACAUCUUCCCCAAACUUGCUAAGUUUAUGUUUUUUAAUCCCAAAAAAGUGGUAUUGUUUUGUUGACUGCCUUUAAAAAAAACUUGCCAAUCUUGCAAUUGUUAUUAAUGUGGUUGUUAAUGUCAUGUAUGUGUAUGUCUUGAUUCUGUCUUUGUUGCCAUGCUGGUUGUUUCUUUGACAGAGUUGGCUGUUGGCUGCUGCCUGCGCAGAUAAUGAAAGCCUAACAACUUGGAACCUGUCUAGAAAUUCACUGCAGGCUGUCCGUGUGACUGUAAAUGUUUUGUUUUUUAGAAACUAAAAACUUCACUCCAACUACGGUUGUUCAUCCAUGUGAAUGUAACUAUCAUCAAUGGGUUAGUGUUAUAAGUUAAUCCCAUAUCUACUAACUUUGAACCUUAGUUUGUUUCAUCAAGCGAAACUUGCCCCGUGCACUGAGAUCUCUCUGUUGUGUUUUUACCUGAUCCAAUCUUCGGACAUUUGCAGGUAAAAUAAUUUGUUAUAAGUUUUAAAUUGUUCCAAAGCUGAUUUUGUGUCAUUCAUUAAAUUUAACCAAAGUUUAAUGAAUUGUUCUCCCCUGGAAUCCUUUUUAAAUUGAUUUUGUUUUUAAGUGAGUCAGAACACUCAAGUGGAACACUUUCUUUUCUAGGCUGUAGAGAUUGCACGGAAACUGUCUAAUGAGGACAGUAGUGGUGAACACGACGUCUAGAGUCCCCAUCAAGACAACUGCCUCAAACCAUCAUGAGAACACUGGUUGGAUGUUCGUACUGCCCUCAAAGUAAUUUGUUGCCAUGCUGGCUGUCCUUAGACAGGGUUGGCUGCUGCUAGAAAGCGUAGAUGGUGAAAGCAUGCCAACAGAAGGACAUCGGUGAAGGUUCUACAAGAUAGAUUGCUGUGACAUCAUUGAGAUUAUUCACUGAUUGAAGAGCCAACUCAGUGUCCCAAGCAAUACCCCAGUCGCCCCUCGGACUUAUAGUCUUCUAUACCUGAGGUCAAUCUGAUAGGGAACCUAGUCUCUUCAUCACCAGUCUCCCCCCCCCCAGACUUAGGGUCUUCUUUACCCGAAGUAAAUUCGUUUAUCACCAUAGUCUUCUCACCACGCCCUUCCUGCUCCAACACCAUCUUUAGCUACCACUUUCUCGAAUGACCAAGAGUUUGAGUCGAGCAGUCACCAGACAGACAGGCAGACAGACAGACAGACAGAGGUUGCUGUUUGAAACAUUGAGCCCACCAGUUCUUCUCAGAACCCAAAUUCACUCAACAGAGAUCUACCUAAAUCAUUUUGUUGCCAAACUGCAGAAGAUCAAGGAGGCUCGUGAAGAGAUGGCAGAGAUUGAACGGAAACUGUCUAAUGAGGACACCAGUGAUGAAUGCGAUGUCUAGAGUCCUCGUUAAUACGCCUUGACAUCAUCACGACAACACUGGCUGUACGCUCUGUACUGCCCUCAAAGAAAUCGUUGCCAUGCUGGCUGUCCCUAGAUAGGGUUGGCUGAUGCUAGCACAGAUGAUGUAAGCAUGCCAACUAAAGAACAUCUACAAGACAGAUUGCCAGGACAUCUUUGAGGUAUAUGCACAUUUUAUGAACCUUGUGAUUUCAUGAAACUUUGAUUGAACUUGUAUUAUUCCUCAUACACAACUGUGCCAUCUCUGAUAAGCAGAGAACCCAAUGGUGUGCGAUAUCUUGAAAUAAUCAACGUUUUGUCCAGCCUUUCAAAAACUUACCAACCAAAUGCUUUUGGUACUCUGACAUUUGUAUUUCCUUUGAUAUUGUGGUGCCUUUGAUAUUUCAUUAAAAACUCAUAUGUUCAGUUUUGUGGCAUAUUUUGAAACCAUAACUAGCUCAUGUUGAAUUGCUCGAGUCAUUUUCAAAGCAACCUUGUACAAUCUCUCGAUACCAUUUCAUGUUGACAUUUUAAGGCUGUAAUUAUUGUUUAAUGACAGCGAUACAGUGUCUUGCUGAAUCACUUUUGAUGAAAUGAUUUCUGUUGUGUGUCUUUUAGUUAUCUUCAGAUUAUUAACCAAAUGAAGAGCCAACUCAUUGUUCCAAGCAAUACACCAGUCCCCCCUCGGACUUGGGGUCUUCUAUACCCAAAGUCAAUUUGAUUAUGCUAUUGUUACUACUCAUUAUACACAUUAGUGUGUUCUUUCUCGAAGUCAAACCAACUUUACAUAGUACUGUGGCAAUAAUUUCUGAGGCCUCGCCCUGACAAAUUUAAGAACCAAAGCUGAUUCUUUAUAAAAAUUUUACAGUUGUAUAGGCUACAGCAAAAAUUAACCUGUGAAAAUUAGCGUUUGGCUUGACUUUGUUUGGAUUGGUCACCCAGUUGAUUAUGACAUUGUCAUGUAUGUUUUGAUUUCGUCUAGGCUGCCAUGCUGGCUGUCCUUAGACAGAGUUAGCUGAUGCUAGCACAGAUGAUGAAAGCAUGCCUUCAAAAGAACAUCGGUGAAGGUUCUACAAGAUAGAUUGCUGUGCCAUCAUUGAGAUCGAUGAGGGUCUUGAAGAGGGUCAGAACACUCCAAGCGGACCACCUUGCUUUCAAGAUGGUAGAGAUUGAACUGAAACGGUCAAAUGAGAACAGCUGCCUCAAACCAUCAGGAGAAGACUGGUUGGAUGCUUCAGACUACCCGAAAAGGAAUUCAUUAAGUUGCCAUGCUAAACAGGGUUGGCUGCUGCUAGCACAGACGAUGAAAGCAUGCCAACAAAAGAACACAUCGGUGAAGGUUCUACAAGAUAGAUUGUCCUGACAUUGUGAGGUUGCCACGCACGACGUCCUUAAACAGGGUUGCCUGCUGCUAGCAGUGAUGAUGGUGAAGGGUCUACAACAUUGAUUACCGUGACUCCAUUGAAGAUGAGCUGCUCGGAUGUCUUGAUGAUACUGAUGUUUGCCCAAGGCAGUUGAUCUCCAGGAACUACUGGCCCUGAAAGGUCAAGUUAACGGAUAUAAUUAUUAAGUUGUAAGUCAAUAUUUUGUCAUCAAAACUCUUGCAUGGGUAAUUUAGACCACCUCUUUAUAUAAUAAUAACAAUUAUGGUGGCUUCUUAUAGCGCUCAGGUCUGUCACGCAG
This is a long non-coding RNA of Asterias rubens (European starfish), 3594 nucleotides long. RefSeq lists it as uncharacterized. Lineage: Eukaryota; Metazoa; Echinodermata; Asteroidea; Forcipulatida; Asteriidae. The transcript is spliced from 9 exons. The record is from RefSeq and is a predicted model, not a curated record.